This 1372-nucleotide ribosomal RNA is filed under the name uncultured bacterium. RNAcentral describes it as "bacterial SSU rRNA". It matches the Rfam family "Bacterial small subunit ribosomal RNA", at positions 28 to 1381 of the family's 1533-position model. The record is from RNAcentral.
GAUGAACGCUGGCGGCGUGCCUAAUACAUGCAAGUCGAGCGAACGGACGAGAAGCUUGCUUCUCUGAUGUUAGCGGCGGACGGGUGAGUAACACGUGGAUAACCUACCUAUAAGACUGGGAUAACUUCGGGAAACCGUAGCUAAUACCGGAUAAUAUUUUGAACCGCAUGGUUCAAAAGUGAAAGACGGUCUUGCUGUCACUUAUAGAUGGAUCCGCGCUGCAUUAGCUAGUUGGUAAGGUAACGGCUUACCAAGGCAACGAUGCAUAGCCGACCUGAGAGGGUGAUCGGCCACACUGGAACUGAGACACGGUCCAGACUCCUACGGGAGGCAGCAGUAGGGAAUCUUCCGCAAUGGGCGAAAGCCUGACGGAGCAACGCCGCGUGAGUGAUGAAGGUCUUCGGAUCGUAAAACUCUGUUAUUAGGGAAGAACAUAUGUGUAAGUAACUGUGCACAUCUUGACGGUACCUAAUCAGAAAGCCACGGCUAACUACGUGCCAGCAGCCGCGGUAAUACGUAGGUGGCAAGCGUUAUCCGGAAUUAUUGGGCGUAAAGCGCGCGUAGGCGGUUUUUUAAGUCUGAUGUGAAAGCCCACGGCUCAACCGUGGAGGGUCAUUGGAAACUGGAAAACUUGAGUGCAGAAGAGGAAAGUGGAAUUCCAUGUGUAGCGGUGAAAUGCGCAGAGAUAUGGAGGAACACCAGUGGCGAAGGCGACUUUCUGGUCUGUAACUGACGCUGAUGUGCGAAAGCGUGGGGAUCGAACAGGAUUAGAUACCCUGGUAGUCCACGCCGUAAACGAUGAGUGCUAAGUGUUAGGGGGUUUCCGCCCCUUAGUGCUGCAGCUAACGCAUUAAGCACUCCGCCUGGGGAGUACGACCGCAAGGUUGAAACUCAAAGGAAUUGACGGGGACCCGCACAAGCGGUGGAGCAUGUGGUUUAAUUCGAAGCAACGCGAAGAACCUUACCAAAUCUUGACAUCCUUUGACAACUCUAGAGAUAGAGCCUUCCCCUUCGGGGGACAAAGUGACAGGUGGUGCAUGGUUGUCGUCAGCUCGUGUCGUGAGAUGUUGGGUUAAGUCCCGCAACGAGCGCAACCCUUAAGCUUAGUUGCCAUCAUUAAGUUGGGCACUCUAAGUUGACUGCCGGUGACAAACCGGAGGAAGGUGGGGAUGACGUCAAAUCAUCAUGCCCCUUAUGAUUUGGGCUACACACGUGCUACAAUGGACAAUACAAAGGGCAGCGAAACCGCGAGGUCAAGCAAAUCCCAUAAAGUUGUUCUCAGUUCGGAUUGUAGUCUGCAACUCGACUACAUGAAGCUGGAAUCGCUAGUAAUCGUAGAUCAGCAUGCUACGGUGAAUACGUUCCCGGGUCU